CUUCUAUGACCCGUAAGCACUUUUAACUCUCCUUCCACAAGCAGCCAAAGACUUGUCAUUGAAAUGUUUUUGACCUAAAACAAGCUAAAGGCAUUUCUAACUAUAAAAAUUGUUCGAUGUCUUUAUAACAAAAACACAGUAGAAGCGCUUAUAAACAUAAGAUUUUUCUAGAAAAGCAAUCCUAAAUGGCUCGCACAAUCAAAAACGUUUUUUUUAUUGUCUAAAACGCUUUUAAUUCUUUUCGAAACAAUCACAAUCCAAAACAUGCCCUCCUCAUAUUAUGAAAAUUUUGCACAUUCUAAACUACCCUAUUCCGAUAUGCCAGUGCCCAAAUUGUCUUUAAACAUUCUUGAAGCGUUUUUUUCAUCAGUCAUCACUUACCGCAGCAGCAGCCGCAGACAUUUCUCCAUCUUGAAGAACAACUCUUGUGUAAAUUUUCCUUUUAAAGUUCGACGGUUGCCAUUGCUUAAGCUUCCUCGUAACAUUUGCUCACUUGUUCUUGGAUGGGUUGCUUCACUCUUUCAAUCUAGAUACCUUCAUUUCUCCUGAAGAAGCUGUUAAUAUACUGUCCUGAGGAACAACAAGCAAGCCUUGUGUGAAUUUUCCUUUGAAGGUAUUGGCUUUUUACUCCAUAUCCAAAUCUACAUGUCCUUACUAUGAAUUUAUAUUUGUAUUUCGUCCUUUUUUUUAUUUGCUUUUCUCUGUUUACUCUUUGUGCUGGAUUCUUUGGUCCAUUUGCAUUCCUGAUGUUAAACCCGAAAUCCAUUGGGAAUUUGAGAAUUCAUACAAUUUGGGAUCAUUGAUACAACCUUUCAUGUAAAGAAAAAAAAAUUAAUAAAAUUGCAGCUUAGUCUAAACCUUUAUGGGAUUUAUUUCUUUGUGCGUGUUAGGAAAUUUUGCAUUUUCAUAUGUAAUUAUAAUUUCACAAAAAAAAAAAAAAAAAAAAGCAUGUAAAUAAUGCUAUCCAGCUGAAGAGGCAUAUAUAUUGUUAGAAUUUCAACUCUCCUCUGGAUCUUAUUCUUUGACAUAUUAGGUAAUGGACAAAACUUCACAGAUAGUGAAUAACUAGAAACA
Molecule: long non-coding RNA, 1074 nt
Organism: Pyrus x bretschneideri (Chinese white pear)
Lineage: Eukaryota; Viridiplantae; Streptophyta; Magnoliopsida; Rosales; Rosaceae
Exons: 2
Source: RefSeq, a predicted model, not a curated record